RNAcentral lists this ribosomal RNA (484 nucleotides) under uncultured bacterium. RNAcentral's name for it is "bacterial SSU rRNA". It matches the Rfam family "Bacterial small subunit ribosomal RNA", at positions 30 to 507 of the family's 1533-position model. The record is from RNAcentral.
UUGAACGCUGGCGGCAUGCCUUACACAUGCAAGUCGAACGGCAGCACGGGAGCAAUCCUGGUGGCGAGUGGCGAACGGGUGAGUAAUAUAUCGGAACGUGCCCAGUCGUGGGGGAUAACGUAGCGAAAGCUACGCUAAUACCGCAUACGAUCUAUGGAUGAAAGCGGGGGGAUCGCAAGACCUCGCGCGAUUGGAGCGGCCGAUAUCAGAUUAGGUAGUUGGUGAGGCAAAGGCUCACCAAGCCGACGAUCUGUAGCUGGUCUGAGAGGACGACCAGCCACACUGGGACUGAGACACGGCCCAGACUCCUACGGGAGGCAGCAGUGGGGAAUUUUGGACAAUGGGCGCAAGCCUGAUCCAGCAAUGCCGCGUGCAGGAUGAAGGCCUUCGGGUUGUAAACUGCUUUUGUACGGAACGAAACGGUGAGCUCUAAUACAGUUUGCUAAUGACGGUACCGUAAGAAUAAGCACCGGCUAACUACGUG